Molecule: ribosomal RNA, 468 nt
Filed under: uncultured bacterium
Lineage: Bacteria
Description: partial 16S ribosomal RNA
Rfam family: Bacterial small subunit ribosomal RNA
Source: RNAcentral
GACGAACGCUGGCGGCGUGCUUAACACAUGCAAGUCGAACGGACAGGCCCUGCUUUUGUGGGGUGCUCGAGUGGCGAACGGGUGAGUAACACGUGAGUAACCUGCCCUUGACUUUGGGAUAACUUCUGGAAACUGGGGCUAAUACCGGAUAGGAUCUCCUGCUGCAUGGUGGGCGUUGGAAAGUUUCGGCGGUUGGGGAUGGACUCGCGGCUUAUCAGCUUGUUGGUGGAGUAGUGGCUUACCAAGGCUUUGACGGGUAGCCUGCCUGAGAGGGUUACCGGCCACAUUGGGACUGAGAUACGGCGCAGACUCCUACGGGAGGCAGCAGUGGAGAGUAUUGCACAAUGGGCGGAAGUCUGAUGCAGCAACGCCGCGUGCGGGAUGACGGCCUUCGGGUUGUAAACCGCUUUCGCAUGUGACGAAGCGUUAGUGACGGUAAUGGGUAAAGAAGCACCGGCUAACUACGUG